GAAAUGGUUCGAAACUUUGAAGUCACGCUCUACUUCUCAAUCUCUGUCUUUCAGAUCCAAAGUUUGAGCUCAAACUUUCUCCUUCUCUAUCUAAAGCCCUAUCGCUCUCAUCCCCUCACUCCUCUCCUCUCCACUUGAAACCUUGUCAUUGAAUCCUCAUCCAACUACCUCUCCUACGCGGACAUCCGACUCCAUUCGACUGCCUCAUCCGACUCCACACCGGAAAGUUCUCAUACUCUCAUCAUUCUCCUCCGACUUGGUGGUUAGCGGGAUACUCCUCUCGUUCGACUACACCCAUCUGACUCCUCUCAGUGCCAGAAACUUGUAAUACGUUGGGUUACCGAUCAAUUGAAAACGAAUCUCAGAUUAAAUGGCUUCUUCUUCUACAAAUAAUAGCAACAUUAGAUUAAAACCAAGAAUGUGAGACUGUGGGAGAACAACUGCAAUAUAUAUUGUACGAACCAAUGAGAAUGGAAAUCAAGGGUGUAUAUUCUUUGUGUUGCCAUUAAAAUAUACUUUUAAAGAACACUGCAAUUACUUCAAGUUCGCAGACGAUGAUGAUGAGGACGUUACCUCCACAAUCCAUUCCAAUACUGGACUUUGUAAAGUUGUAAGGAUAGAGGAAUUCAAUGAUGUAAGGACAAGGCUUUCAGAGAUGGACACUGAAAUUCAUGACCAUGGUAGAAGGCUUCGAAGGAUGGAAAAAAAUUUCAAGGCGAUGAUUUAUGUGAUUGUAUUCUGCGUCAUUUUGUACUUUAUAAUGUAAAUUAGUUAAACAUUUAGGUUUUGGGGAAUUUUAUGGAUGUAAUUAUCAAUGUACUGGACAUGAUGUAAUUAUGGAUGUACUGGACAUGAUGGAUAAAGUAUAUAUGUUAUCUCUUCGAUGUUGUCAUGAA
This is a long non-coding RNA of Camellia sinensis, 896 nucleotides long. RefSeq lists it as uncharacterized. Lineage: Eukaryota; Viridiplantae; Streptophyta; Magnoliopsida; Ericales; Theaceae. The record is from RefSeq and is a predicted model, not a curated record.